CGCCCGCUCAGAAACUUAAAGGAAUUGACGGGGGCCCCGCACAAGCGGUGGAGCAUGUGGUUUAAUUCGAAGCAACGCGAAGAACCUUACCAGGCCUUGACAUGCAGAGAACUUUCCAGAGAUGGAUUGGUGCCUUCGGGAACUCUGACACAGGUGCUGCAUGGCUGUCCGUCAGCUCGUGUCGUGAGAUGUUGGGUUAAGUCCCGUAACGAGCGCAACCCUUGUCCUUAGUUACCAGCACGUUAUGGUGGGCACUCUAAGGAGACUGCCGGUGACAAACCGGAGGAAGGUGGGGAUGACGUCAAGUCAUCAUGCCCCUUAUGUCCAGGGCUUCACACAUGCUACAAUGGCCAGUACAGAGGGCUGCGAGACCGUGAGGUGGAGCGAAUCCCUUAAAGCUGGUCUCAGUUCGGAUCGGGGUCUGCAACUCGACCCCGUGAAGUCGGAGUCGCUAGUAAUCGCAGAUCAGCAACGCUGCGGUGAAUACGUUCCCGGGCCUU
Molecule: ribosomal RNA, 500 nt
Filed under: uncultured Silanimonas sp.
Lineage: Bacteria; Pseudomonadati; Pseudomonadota; Gammaproteobacteria; Lysobacterales; Lysobacteraceae
Description: bacterial SSU rRNA
Rfam family: Bacterial small subunit ribosomal RNA
Source: RNAcentral